CCCUUAGAUGUUCUGGGCCGCACGCGCGCUACACUGAUGCAUUCAACGAGUUCCUACCUUGGCCGAGAGGCCUGGGCAAUCUUUUGAACUUGCAUCGUGAUAGGGAUAGAUUAUUGCAAUUAUUAAUCUUGAACGAGGAAUUCCUAGUAAACGCAGAUCAUCAAUCUGCAUUGAUUACGUCCCUGCCCUUUGUACACACCGCCCGUCGCUCCUACCGAUUGAGUGGUCCGGUGAGGCUUUGGGAUCUGAGCGGAAAGAGCGUUUCGCUGUUUCUGCUCGGAAAACUCAGUCGAACCUUAUCAUUUAGAGGAAGGAGAAGUCGUAACA
RNAcentral lists this ribosomal RNA (327 nucleotides) under uncultured eukaryote. Its description in RNAcentral is "partial 18S ribosomal RNA". It matches the Rfam family "Eukaryotic small subunit ribosomal RNA", at positions 1470 to 1796 of the family's 1831-position model. The record is from RNAcentral.